RNAcentral lists this ribosomal RNA (406 nucleotides) under uncultured bacterium. RNAcentral describes it as "partial 16S ribosomal RNA". It matches the Rfam family "Bacterial small subunit ribosomal RNA", at positions 30 to 526 of the family's 1533-position model. The record is from RNAcentral.
AUUGAACGCUGGCGGCAGGCUUAACACAUGCAAGUCGAGCGAGCGGCGGACGGGUGAGUAAUGUCUGGGAAACUGCCUGAUGGAGGGGGAUAACUACUGGAAACGGUAGCUAAUACCGCAUACCAUCAGAUGUGCCCAGAUGGGAUUAGCUAGUAGGUGGGGUAAUGGCACACCUAGGCGACGAUCCGUAACUGGUCUGAGAGGAUGAUCAGGCACACUGGAACUGAGACACGGUCCAGACUCCUACGGGAGGCAGCAGUGGGGAAUAUUGGACAAUGGGCGAAAGCCUGAUCCGAACAUGCCGCGUGUGUGAAGGAGGUCUUCGGAUUGGAAAGCACUUUAAGUUGGGAAGAGGUACCAACAGAAUAAGCACCGGCUAACUUCGUGCCAGCAGCCGCGGUAAUAC